GAUGAACGCUGGCGGCGUGCCUAAUACAUGCGAGUCGAGCGAACGGACGAGAAGCUUGCUUCUCUGAUGUUAGCGGCGGACGGGUGAGUAACACGUGGAUAACCUACCUAUAAGACUGGGAUAACUUCGGGAAACCGGAGCUAAUACCGGAUAAUAUUUUGAACCGCAUGGUUCAAAAGUGAAAGACGGUCUUGCUGUCACUUAUAGAUGGAUCCGCGCUGCAUUAGCUAGUUGGUAAGGUAACGGCUUACCAAGGCAACGAUGCAUAGCCGACCUGAGAGGGUGGUCGGCCACACUGGAACUGAGACACGGUCCAGACUCCUACGGGAGGCAGCAGUAGGGAAUCUUCCGGAAUGGGCGAAAGCCUGACGGAGCAACGCCGCGUGAGUGAUGAAGGUCUUCGGAUCGUAAAACUCUGUUAUUAGGGAAGAACAUAUGUGUAAGUAACUGUGCACAUCUUGACGGUACCUAAUCAGAAAGCCACGGCUAACUACGUG
RNAcentral lists this ribosomal RNA (497 nucleotides) under uncultured bacterium. RNAcentral's name for it is "partial 16S ribosomal RNA". It matches the Rfam family "Bacterial small subunit ribosomal RNA", at positions 28 to 507 of the family's 1533-position model. The record is from RNAcentral.